Oreochromis aureus is the source of this 490-nucleotide long non-coding RNA. RefSeq lists it as uncharacterized. The record is from RefSeq and is a predicted model, not a curated record. The transcript has 2 exons. Lineage: Eukaryota; Metazoa; Chordata; Actinopteri; Cichliformes; Cichlidae.
UUCUGUACCUGUCAAUGGAAAAUUGUAUUUAGUAGUCAGUAUAAUCUUUUAAUGAUAUAAGUUUCCAUAUAUGCUUAGAGGUGUAUAAUUGAUUGUGUAGUGAUAGGAUGUGUGAUCUGUAGAAGGCUGCAAGGACUUUUAUGUGCAUUCCAGAGUGUUCUGCCAUUCACCCCCCCCACAUCCUAGGAGCAUGGGAAAGGUUGUACCUUCUUUUAUUGUUUUACAGUAGGAUAAACGUAGCUAUGUCAGUUUUAGUCUAAGUGCCUUUUUUACAUAUAGAUGAACUGUUGGAUUUUCCAGACCAGCAGGUUUAGGGAAGUCGUUUAUGGGGUCACACACACACACACAGACACCUAAACAUCCACAUUCCAAUGUAAGGAACAAACACCCACUGAUGUAUAAAUAAAGACCAGGGCAGUCUCAGAGCGCGUGUCAGAGAGCCCUCACUCUCACUGCGGGUGCUCUGUGCUGCCCUUGUAUACAAGUAAAA